Non-coding RNA from Microcebus murinus (gray mouse lemur), 1061 nucleotides. The record is from RefSeq and is a predicted model, not a curated record. NCBI's taxonomy places the organism in Eukaryota, Metazoa, Chordata, Mammalia, Primates, Cheirogaleidae.
AUGGCCAAGGGGCUCCUGGUGACCUAUGCUCUUUGGGCUGUAGGGGGUCCUGCUGGGCUCCACCACUUGUACCUGGGAAGGGACAGCCAUGCCCUGCUCUGGAUGCUUACCCUGGGUGGGGGUGGGCUGGGCUGGCUCUGGGAGUUCUGGAAGCUCCCAAGCUUUGUAGCUCAGGCCAACAGAGCCCAGGGCCAGAGGCAGAGCCCAGGAGGGGGGACACCCCCUUUGAGUCCCAUUCGCUUUGCUGCUCAGAUGGUAGUGGGCAUCUAUUUUGGCCUUGUGGCUCUGAUUAGCCUUUCUUCCAUGGCCAACUUCUACACUGUGGCCCUCCCACUGGCAGUUGGCUUAGGGGUCUUGCUGGUGGCUACUGUUGGCAACCAGACCUCAGACUUCAAGAACACUCUAGGAGCAGCAUUCCUUACUUCCCCUAUCUUCUAUGGCCGCCCCAUAGCCAUCCUACCCAUCAGCUUGGCUGCCAGCAUCACAGCCCAGAAGCAUCGCAGCUACAAAGCUUCAGUGAAGUCAGAGACACUCAGUGUGCGGCUCUACCGGCUAGGCCUGGCUUACCUUACUUUCACGGGCCCACUGGCAUACAGUACCCUCUGCAACACAGCUGCCACCCUCAGCUAUGUGGCAGAAACCCUUGGCUCCUUCUUGAAUUGAUUCAGCUUCUUCCCCCUUCUUGGCCACCUCAUGGAGUCUGUCCUCCUUCUGCCUUAUCGGAUCUGGAGGCUACUGGUGGGGGAUCCCGGCUUCAACAGCAGCUACUUCCAGGAGUGGGAGAAGCUCUAUGAGUUUGUUCAAAGUUUUCAAGAUGAGAAGCGUCAGCUGGCUUACCAGGUUUGGGGCCUCUCAGAAGGGGCAACAAAUGAAGAAAUACAUCGGAGUUACCGGGAGCUGGUGAAGGUCUGGCAUCCUGACCACAACCUGCACCAGACAGAGGAGGCACAGAGGCACUUCCUGGAAAUCCAGGCUGCAUAUGAAGCCCUGAGUCAGCCCAGGAAGUCCAAGGGACCCUGAAGGUGAGAAGAGACUUCCCCCUAAGGAUGGACUCUUCCCAG